UACAAAACAAUGCGAAACUCUAGAUGCUCUAGGAAAUAUUAGUGCCAUAAAUGAUCUAAUAUUUGGCAAAAGUAACGCAUAUAUAAAACAGCCUCCCUAUUUAACCUUAUACAACAACAACAACCCAGUAUAAUCCCACUUAGUGGGGUCUGGGGAGGGUAGUGUGUACAUGAUACAUACAACUCUCCGCCCUGUGUUUCCACAAGUAAUACAACAACAACAACAACCCAGUAUAAUCUUACUUAGUGAGGUCUGGGGAGGGUAGUAUAUACGCAGACCUUACCCCUACCCUUAGGUAGAAAGGCUGUUUCCAAAUAAACCCCCGGCAUCUUUCCCUCCAAGAACUUCCCACUUUGCUCUUGGGGAGACUCGAACUCACAACCUCUCGGAUAGAAGUGGGAGUUGCUUACCAUCAGAGCAACCCCUCUUGUCAAUCCCAUACACCAAGAUUCUAAAU
This 457-nucleotide long non-coding RNA is filed under the name Nicotiana benthamiana. Its description in RNAcentral is "long non-coding RNA (NBEN_LNC034899)". The record is from RNAcentral. Lineage: Eukaryota; Viridiplantae; Streptophyta; Magnoliopsida; Solanales; Solanaceae.